CCUACGGGUGGCAGCAGUAGGGAAUAUUGCUCAAUGGGGGAAAGCCUGAAGCAGCAACGCCGCGUGGAGGAUGAAGGUCCUAGGAUUGGAAACCCUCUUUGUUAGAGAAGAUAAUGAUGGUAUGUAACGAAUAAGCACUGGCUAACUCCGUGCCAGCAGCGGCGGUAGUACGGGGGUUGCAACGGUUAAUCGGAGUCACUGGGCGUAAAGGGGGCGUAGGUGGGAUAGCAAGUCAGAUGUGAAAUCCGAUGGCUUAACCAUAGAACUGCAGUUGAAACUGUUAGUCUUGAGUAUGGGAGAGGUAGGUGGAAUUCUUGGUGUAGGGGUGAAAUCCGUAGAGAUCAAGAAGAAUACUCAUUGCGAAGGC
RNAcentral lists this ribosomal RNA (367 nucleotides) under uncultured bacterium. Its description in RNAcentral is "partial 16S ribosomal RNA". It matches the Rfam family "Bacterial small subunit ribosomal RNA", at positions 338 to 722 of the family's 1533-position model. The record is from RNAcentral.